UACGUAGGGGCCAAGCGUUGUCCGGAUUUAUUGGGCGUAAAGAGCUCGUAGGCGGUUCGGCAAGUCAGCUGUGAAAUCUCCACGCUCAACGUGGAGGGGUCAGCUGAUACUGCUGUGACUCGAGUCCGGUAGGGGAGUGUGGAAUUCCCGGUGUAGCGGUGAAAUGCGCAGAUAUCAGGAGGAACACCGGUGGCGAAGGCGGGUCUCUGGGCCGUAACUGACGCUGAGGAGCGAAAGCGUGGGGAGCGAACAGG
This 254-nucleotide ribosomal RNA is filed under the name uncultured bacterium. RNAcentral's name for it is "partial 16S ribosomal RNA". It matches the Rfam family "Bacterial small subunit ribosomal RNA", at positions 524 to 776 of the family's 1533-position model. The record is from RNAcentral.